This 3402-nucleotide long non-coding RNA is filed under the name Marmota monax (woodchuck). Lineage: Eukaryota; Metazoa; Chordata; Mammalia; Rodentia; Sciuridae. The record is from RNAcentral.
CCUGCCCUGGUUGGACAUCUAAGGUAGGGACAUUUAGGGUCCCUUCCUCCCCCCCGCCCCGUAGGACUGCAUCCUUCCUGUUGCUGUGGAAACGGGUGAUUCUCUUGGCCUCUUUCUCCUUUGCUGGCCUCAUUUAUGCACUCUCCCCACCAGCAAGCCCCAAGUGGGGAGCCCAGGCGACAGUGACACAAAAGGCCCGCCCUCUCCUCUUCUACGGGGUGGACGCAGCAACAUUCUGGCCUAAAUCGAGGAUUAAGAGAGAAGGUACCAUGAAAACCCUAGCGAUUGCCGUGCACCGUCCACUCGGGCUCUCAGGACUGUGAGGGGCAGCCUGGGGUGGCAGGAGGGCUCCUAAGGGAAGACCCGGCAGUGGAGCAGGUGCACAGGUGGGUGGGGUGAGCCUUCCCCUGUCAGUCACAGCGGGGAGGGCCACAGUGUCCACUCUGUGCUUUGGGUGUAGCCCAGGCUGCUCGGCCACGGCACCUGAGUUUUAAAAUGGACGCGUUUCACCUCUUCCUCUCCCCCUGCUCCUCCCUAGUCUCAGGGAAACAGGUCGCCUUUCUUCCCCCCGUCGGCAGAGCUCUGUCCCUGAGCACACACCCACAGGACCCCAAUGAUCCAGAAUUUGGGUUUGGCACCAGAAGAUCUCAGAGAGACUGUCCCCCACAUUAACACGGGAAUCACACUGCAACAGUGGACCCGGGAAUGUGGCCUUUGAGCCACCUCUUUAACAGCCCCGGGUCCUGCUGAUGGGCGGGAUCAGCCUCUGGGACAGGAGCCCCUGUGGGUCUCCUUUGCUGGCAAAGCCACAAACCUGCUCUUUCCUUUUUCUCAAAACCCUGUGGGGUUGCCCAGAGACCUCAGGCCCCUGGGGGUUUUAAGUGCGAUGAGUGACCAAUACGGGAGAGAGAAGAAGGCAGAAGUGGGGGGUGGGACUGACCGCUGGAGAUGGGGUGGGCUGCCAAAGUGGACAGAAGGUAAGUGUUCUCUUUACCAGAAAAAGGAAAAGGGCGACCUGUUUCCCUGAGACUAGGGAGGAGCAGGAGAGAGGAAGAGGUGAAACGCGUCCAUUUUAAAACUCAGGUGCCGUGGCCGAGCAGCCUGGGCUACACCCAAAGCACAGAGUGGACACUGUACCUUCCCCACUGUCCAUUUCUACAGUCCGUUUCUUUUUCCCGCACAGGAUCUGUUAAUUGUGUAUUUACCAAGAAAAGCGAUUCCUCAGCCCACACGUUCAUGUUUCAUCGUCCGGAGCACAAGUCAGCGCAGACUCUAAGGCCCCGAUCCAGGAACACUUCAUUGGAUCACGUUCACCCUGAACGUCACCAGCCUCCUCAGGUCCUCAGACUCUCCCUGGGAUCCUGAUUCCUACAGGAAUCUGCAUUCGCCUCUCUCUGGCCUCAGCCACACGAACAGCAGCGACCCCAGCAGCCCCGAACGCUGAACCGGGACCCUUGGCCGGAAGACCCCGACCUGAGGUUUCCUCCAAGUGCUGGAAGCCGUGGCAGUUUUGUCCCCCACACCCACGCCCUUCCUGGGAGACGAGAAGAAAUCUCUACCUUCCAUUUCUGUGGAAAGAUGGGAGGUAAGCGGUUCUAAGGGAGAGGAGGAGACAGGCUUGGCCCCCAGCCCUGGGGUGUGGCCAGGCCUCCGGGAAAGACCUCUGCCUGCUGAGGUCAAGGUUAGGCCCAGAGCUGGACAGAGCUGGGAGGGCUGACCCCAGGGCGGAGCAGGCUGCGACAGCUGGAGAGGGAGACCAGAGUGGAGUCUGCGGGCCGCCCGCUGGUUUUCACGGGCUGCCUCUGUCUCUCCCUCAGGGUCUCGACCCUCUGGCCGGACCAGCGCAGAGCACAGGUCAGGAGGAUGGGACACAGCCUAGGGCCCCACAGUGGGGACCCCUUCAGCCUCUCGGGUAAACUCACUCUGGCCCCAGCCCCACAGCCGUUAGUGGGAACAGCCAGGACGGAGGUCACCACUGUGCCGGGCGGUCGGGCGGAUGCAGGAGAGAAGCGGGUGUGACCACGUGUGCUUGCACGGCUGUCCCGUCUCUCUGGGAAGACGAAAGGCUGGGGCAGGAUGGGAACAGGGCCCACGGGUGACAGGCCAGACUUGGGCGGUGCCCUCAGUGCAGUUUGGCAUUGGGACCGGUGACAUCCCAACGCAGGCUGACCUGGCUGAGGCAGCAGCCAACGCUGGCAAUGGUGACCUCAGCAGCCUCCGGUCCUCGUGGGCACAAGAGGCAGCUGCACUGGCAGGUUGAGAGCUCCUCCAGGCUAGGAGGAGGGUGGACCCUGCCAGGUGAGUGGGCAGCCCUGCUGGCCACGAGGCCCUGCCCCGCUGCAGAGGAGGCCGGGAGCAUCUUUCCAGCUGUGCCCUGGGCGCUGCCCAAAGCCAGCGCUCUCAGGGAGGAAGAGAGGCUUGGAGAGGGGCGGCCGCUCUGGUGUGCUUGGAAUCUGGCUCCGCAGCCUGCCGCCUGGCCAACAGAAGCUGGUCCUCCACGCUGAGCCAGGGCCAUGGCUGGAGAUGACCAGCCCGCUGCCCCUGAGCUCCCGGCUCCUCCCUGUGCACAGCUGCAGACUCGGCAGCUGGGAGCCCCCUGGGGGAGGAUGCCGCACAACUGGCAGGAAGGAGGCUCAAGGUGGCUGGGCUGCCCUGUCCUGGCGGGAGCAUGGGACAUGCCAGGUGACAGGUGAGGUGGCAGAUGGUGGCAAGAGGGGUGCCAGUCUGAGAAGGAAUGAGGUAGUUCCUUGUCAACCAGGGUUUGUGUGCCAAGGACUCAGCCCCAGCCCAACUGGCCUGGCCCAGGCCCAGGGAGUGGGUCAGGGGCUGCUGCAGGCCCCGUCUGCACACGAAGGACCCUGUGAUGCCCCUUGGUAAGUGCAGAGCUGGCCCAGGACCCGCCUGCGCCUCCUGAGAGGUCCUCCCUCCAGAGGAGCAGGGACCAGCGAGUCCUUGGGGCCAGCAGCCUGCUCCCAGCCCAGCCCUAGGUGAGCAGGUGCAGGGAGUCCCUGGCUCGAGUCACAGGCAGGGGCAGGCGGCACCGUUCUGGACCCUGCAGAACUGUGGAUUGGGUUCCCUCUGGCUCAGACCCCAUUUCACUCACAGUGAAACCGACGCCCAGAGACAGGGAGUCCCCUCAGCCCAGGCUGCACAGCCAUCCGGGAGCCCGCAGUCCUGACAGAGGGCCUUGGAACCCUGAGCAGACAGCGCCCCCAAACUGCUUUGUGCCGUCUGGUCGACAACUGCCUGAAUGUUGCUGUUCCUGUCUGCAGAUGGGCCGCCUGAGGCCUUGGGGUGGAUGAGCACUCCGACUGUCUGCCCUCCCAACAGCAGGCCCUGCAGCCUCAGGGUUCUCUGUAGAUACAGGACCAAAAAGGGAAGUGUGUGCAAAGAGGGGGGGGA